CAUCUGGCUUAUGUCUUGUAUUGGAUGAUGGGAAUUUAAACCUCUUCCAGAGUAUCAAUUGGAGGGCAAGUCUGGUGCCAGCAGCCGCGGUAAUUCCAGCUCCAAUAGCGUAUAUUAAAAUUGUUGCAGUUAAAAAGCUCGUAGUUGAAUUUCUGCUGCAUUGCAUCUUCUUUUUGAUGAGUUGGUGUAUUGUGGCUUAUUUCGGAUGAUACUUGUAUUAUCCGGAUGAUUACUUUGAGAAAAUUAGAGUGCUCAAAGCAGGCUUUUGCCUUGAAUAGUUUAGCAUGGAAUAAUAAAGUAGGACUUUGGUUCUAUUUUGUUGGUUUUAGGUACCAAAGUAAUGGUUAAUAGGG
Molecule: ribosomal RNA, 353 nt
Filed under: Theileria luwenshuni
Lineage: Eukaryota; Apicomplexa; Aconoidasida; Piroplasmida; Theileriidae
Description: SSU rRNA
Rfam family: Eukaryotic small subunit ribosomal RNA
Source: RNAcentral